GUCUACGGCAUACCACCCUGAAAGCACCCAAUCUUGUCUGAUCUUGGAAGCUAAGCAGGGUCGGGCCUGGUUAGUACUUGGAUGGGUAAACAGUCAGCAAGAAGGCUCAGUAGGUA
Molecule: ribosomal RNA, 116 nt
Organism: Cricetulus griseus (Chinese hamster)
Lineage: Eukaryota; Metazoa; Chordata; Mammalia; Rodentia; Cricetidae
Source: Ensembl